RNAcentral lists this long non-coding RNA (219 nucleotides) under Ananas comosus (pineapple). RNAcentral describes it as "long non-coding RNA (ACOM_LNC020832)". The record is from RNAcentral. Lineage: Eukaryota; Viridiplantae; Streptophyta; Magnoliopsida; Poales; Bromeliaceae.
AAUGCUAUUCAUAUGUUAUCAAUAUUAUACUAAGGCCCUGUUUGGAUGCAUAGUUAAAAAAUUCUAUGGAAUUGUUAUUCUAUGGUUUUUGUCUAAAUGAAAUACGGAAUUCUGUAACUACAAAAAAAUUCCACAGCUUCAUUUUUAAGCUGUUUGGAUACAGAUCAUACAAUUCCACAAUAUUUAUAACAAUUAAAUUUCUAAAAUUUUAAAAUUCAA